This 425-nucleotide ribosomal RNA is filed under the name uncultured archaeon. RNAcentral describes it as "bacterial SSU rRNA". It matches the Rfam family "Archaeal small subunit ribosomal RNA", at positions 82 to 507 of the family's 1478-position model. The record is from RNAcentral.
CAGACGGCCCAGUAACGCGUAGUCAACCUACCCUAUGGACGGGAAUAACCUCGGGAAACUGAGAAUAAUGCCCGAUAGAACACUAUACCUGGAAUGGUUUGUGUUUCAAAUGAUUUAUCGCCGUAGGGUGGGACUGCGGCCUAUCAGUUUGUUGGUGAGGUAAUGGCCCACCAAGACUAUUACAGGUACGGGCUCUGAGAGGAGUGGCCCGGAGAUGGGUACUGAGACACGGACCCAGGCCCUAUGGGGCGCAGCAGGCGAGAAAACUUUGCAAUGCGCGAAAGCACGACAAGGUUAAUCCGAGUGGUUUCUGCUAAAGGAACCUUUUGACAGUCCUAGAAACACUGUUGAAUAAGGGGUGGGCAAGUUCUGGUGUCAGCCGCCGCGGUAAAACCAGCACCUCAAGUGGUCAGGAUGAUUAUUGG